Molecule: ribosomal RNA, 112 nt
Filed under: Caerostris darwini
Lineage: Eukaryota; Metazoa; Arthropoda; Arachnida; Araneae; Araneidae
Source: RNAcentral
AACGGCCAUACCAUGCUGAAUAGACAGGUUCUCGUUAGAUCACCGAAAUGAAGCAUCAUUGGGCGCGGUCAGUACUUGGGUGGGUGACCACCUGGGAACACUGCGUGCCGUU